Erinaceus europaeus (western European hedgehog) is the source of this 195-nucleotide non-coding RNA. NCBI's taxonomy places the organism in Eukaryota, Metazoa, Chordata, Mammalia, Eulipotyphla, Erinaceidae. The record is from Rfam.
UGGACGCACGGCCUCCCCCAUCUGCAUCGGAAUGUAGAAAGGACCUUUCAAAAAAAAGUUUUGAAUUCCUCAAUGAUUUUCCUUCUGGAAGGGCGGCUUAGGAUAAUUAUUUCAGCUUUUAUUGAGGGCAGAUUAGCCGAGUCUGGACUCCGCAUCUCAAUACCACAGUCUGGCCUUUGUCCGUCGUGCGUGUGG